Molecule: ribosomal RNA, 406 nt
Filed under: uncultured bacterium
Lineage: Bacteria
Description: partial 16S ribosomal RNA
Rfam family: Bacterial small subunit ribosomal RNA
Source: RNAcentral
GACGAACGCUGGCGGCGUGCCUAAUACAUGCAAGUAGAACGCAGUUGCGAACGGGUGAGUAAUGCGUAGGUAACUGCCUCAUAGCGGGGGAUAACUCUUGGAACCGAUAGCUAAUACCGCAUACUGUGAGAUGGACCUGGGUUGUAUUAGCUAGUUGGUGAGGUAAAGGCUCACCAAGGCGACGAUACAUAGCCGGCCUGAGAGGGUGAUCAGCCACACUGGGACUGAGACACGGCCCAGACUCCUACGGGAGGCAGCAGUAGGGAAUCUUCGGCAAUGGGCGGAAGUCUGACGCAGCAACGCCGCGUGAGUGAAGAAGGUUUUCGGAUCGUAAAGCUCUUUUGGUAGAGAAGCUGUAAGUAACCAGAAAGGGACGGCUAACUACGUGCCAGCAGCCCGGUAAUUC